AGCAGCUACCAUUUUUGGGGAAAGCCAUAACUCCCUCUGUGGGAAAGGAUCCAGGGCAGGCCAACUCAGAGGCUCUGGCCUCAGUUUCCCCAUCGUCACCACCAUGGCAUUUAUGGGGUCUGAAUAACUUCAGCUACUGAUUCAACAAGUAUCAGUUGGGUGCUUGCUGUGUGCCAGGCACUGAGCUGGCUGCUCGGGGGCACAGUCGGGUGAGAGCUAAGCCCUGUUCUUCAGGACUGACUUUCCAGCAGAAGGCAAUCUCUUGAAUCUGAAAUGGACCGAAAAGGAUGUCUGAGCACCAAAACCAGCAUCCCAGUGUCUACACCAAGCACCUCACUCUUAGGAUUAAAAAAAAUUGAAUAGAAUCUUGCAGAUCUGUGGGACAAUAACAAAGGACUUCACCUUGGUGUUAUCAGAGUUUCAGAAGAGAAGAAAGGAACUUCCCUGGAGGUCCAGUGUCUAAGGCUAUCUGCUCCCAGUGCAGGGGGCCUGGGUUUGAUCCCAGGUCAGGGAACUAGAUCCCUCAUGCCACAACUAAGGCCUGGUACAGCUAAAUAAAUAAAUUAAAUAUUUCUUAAAAGAAGUAGAGGAGAAAGUGUAGGAUCAAAAAAAUGUUCAAGGAAAUAAUAUUUGGUCAUGUUCCAAAUUUGGUGAAAGACAUAAAAAUAUAGAUAUAAGGAGUCAAGUAAAUCCUAAACAGGAUAAAUUCAAAGAGAGCCACAGGAAGAUGCCUCAUAUUUAAACAUUUAAAAAACAAAGACAAAGAAAAAAGGUUCAAAGCAGCAGAGAGAAAUGACGCAUACUUACAUAGAAAUACUAACUUGGAUCACAGCAGAUUUCUCGCCUGAAGCCAUGGAAGCAGGAGGGAAGUGGCACAACAUUUUUCCAGUGCUGAACAAAAUGAACUGUAUCCAGUGAAGCUAUCUUGCAGGAGUGAAGGGGGAAAUAAAGACAUUCUCAUAUGAAUUGAAUCUAAGAGAGUUUCUUGCUAGCAGACUUGCCACAGAUGAAUGGCUAAAGAACAGUCUCUCAUCAGAAAGAAAAUCUUCAUCACAGAAGAAGUCUGAUGUCUUUAGAAAUGAAAGAACAAUGGAAAGGGUAAAAAUAGAACCUAUCCUUCACCUUGCGAUUUUAAACCAUAUUUUGCGGUGGAAGCAAAAUUUAUAAUGCCAUCUGAUGUGGUGGUAUUGGAAGGCAGAGAUAUUGAAUUAUAUCCUCCACACCGAGAAGGAACGUUGAGACAGAAAAAUGAAGUAGGCAACUCUGUAAAGUGCAAUUAUGAAGUUUAUUGUGAGUAAUAUGUA
Cervus elaphus (red deer) is the source of this 1304-nucleotide long non-coding RNA. RefSeq lists it as uncharacterized. The record is from RefSeq and is a predicted model, not a curated record. Lineage: Eukaryota; Metazoa; Chordata; Mammalia; Artiodactyla; Cervidae. The transcript has 3 exons.